GCUGGAGUUGCUAGUAAUCGCGAAUCAGCAUGUCGCGGUGAAUACGUUCCCGGGCCUUGUACACACCGCCCGUCACACCAUGAGAGUUGGGAAUGCCCGAAGUCAGUGACCCAACCUUAGGGAGGGAGCUGCCGAAGGCAGGCCUGGUGACUGGGGUGAAGUCGUAACAAGGUACC
RNAcentral lists this ribosomal RNA (176 nucleotides) under uncultured bacterium. RNAcentral's name for it is "partial 16S ribosomal RNA". It matches the Rfam family "Bacterial small subunit ribosomal RNA", at positions 1325 to 1500 of the family's 1533-position model. The record is from RNAcentral.